Molecule: ribosomal RNA, 731 nt
Filed under: uncultured bacterium
Lineage: Bacteria
Description: bacterial SSU rRNA
Rfam family: Bacterial small subunit ribosomal RNA
Source: RNAcentral
AACAGGAUUAGAUACCCUGGUAGUCCACGCCGUAAACGAUGUCUACUAGCUGUUCGUGGUCUUGUACCGUGAGUAGCGCAGCUAACGCAUUAAGUAGACCGCCUGGGGAGUACGGUCGCAAGAUUAAAACUCAAAUGAAUUGACGGGGGCCCGCACAAGCGGUGGAGCAUGUGGUUUAAUUCGACGCAACGCGAAGAACCUUACCUACUCUUGACAUCUACAGAACUUAGCAGAGAUGCUUUGGUGCCUUCGGGAACUGUAAGACAGGUGCUGCAUGGCUGUCGUCAGCUCGUGUUGUGAAAUGUUGGGUUAAGUCCCGCAACGAGCGCAACCCUUAUCCUUAGUUGCCAGCGAGUUAUGUCGGGAACUCUAGGGAGACCGCCGGUGAUAAACCGGAGGAAGGUGGGGACGACGUCAAGUCAUCAUGGCCCUUACGAGUAGGGCUACACACGUGCUACAAUGGUAUGUACAGAGGGAGGCAAGCCAGCGAUGGUGAGCGGAUCUCUUAAAGCAUAUCGUAGUCCGGAUCGCAGUCUGCAACUCGACUGCGUGAAGUCGGAAUCGCUAGUAAUCGCAAAUCAGAAUGUUGCGGUGAAUACGUUCCCGGGCCUUGUACACACCGCCCGUCACACCAUGGGAGUGGGUUGCAAAAGAAGUAGGUAGCUUAACCUUCGGGAGGGCGCUUACCACUUUGUGAUUCAUGACUGGGGUGAAGUCGUAACAAGGUAACC